Molecule: small RNA, 481 nt
Filed under: Pongo abelii (Sumatran orangutan)
Lineage: Eukaryota; Metazoa; Chordata; Mammalia; Primates; Hominidae
Description: processed transcript
Source: RNAcentral
GGAACAGUUACAGGAGCAGCUGAGAAGGGUCAGUUCCACCGCCCCCCUCCCCGGCCCCGCGGGCCACGCCCCAGAAGGAAGAGAGGAGAGCGGUGGGACGGGACCACCUGGCCCCUGCAGUACCCGCCGGACACCAGAGAGGCAGAGGCCCUGGAGACUGAGACAAAGCUCUUUGAGGACUUGGAGUUCCAGCAGUUGGAGCGGGAGAGCCGCGUGGAGGAGGAGCGCGAGCUGGCCGGCCAGGGGCUGCUCCGGAGCAAGGCUGAGCUGCUCCGCAGCAUCGCCAAGAGGAAGGAGCGCCUGGCCAUCCUGGACAGUCAGGCUGGGCAGAUCCGGGCUCAGGCCGUGCAGGAAUCAGAACGCCUGGCCCGGGACAAGAAUGCCUCCUUACAGCUGCUGCAAAAGGAGAAAGAGAAACUGACUGUGCUGGAAAGGAGAUACCACUCACUCACAGGGGGCAGGCCUUUCCCGAAGACCACAU